CCUUCCUCAAGCUCCUGACAGACAUAAGAUUUUUUACCAUUUUUCUUGUUUCCCCUUUUUGUCUGUAACCUAUUUUCAUUAAUUUGUUGUUUGUUUUUCUAAAGGAAGCGUUCUAGGUGGGGUCCAGUCUGGAUCAGGAAGUGCUUGGGACCAGCUGUGGCGUGGAUGGGCCGUGCCCUUGGAGAAGACUGAGGACAUCAUUUGGGACCAGCUUUUCUUGUGGCAGCGGAUGGUGUGAGCCGGGCUCUGCGGAUGCUGAGGCUGCUCUGGGCUCUGCCAGGGCUCUGCUGGGCUCAGCACCAGGCCGGGAUCAGCCAAAGAAGAAACGCUGUGACCUGCAGCAGAGACUUGAGCAUUUUGGCAAUGCAGCUCAAGUCUGCAGAGUGUCCACCUCCAAGGGAAAACAUGACACCCCCCAAAAAUUAAACUUGUUCCAUAACUUCUGAAAUGAAA
Cyanistes caeruleus (blue tit) is the source of this 453-nucleotide non-coding RNA. NCBI's taxonomy places the organism in Eukaryota, Metazoa, Chordata, Aves, Passeriformes, Paridae. The record is from RefSeq and is a predicted model, not a curated record.